AAGGAAUCUAUUAACACAUUACAAAGAACGAGGUCAAGGGCAUAUCCUUUGGAUUCCAUAAUAUUUAGAAUAUUGAAUGCUUCACUAACCAUAUUAGAUUUUAAAAAUCCCCUGAUUAAAGUUGUGUACGUUACAAUACUAGGUGAAGAACCAGUCUCAACCAUCUUCUCCAAUAACUUACCAGCCACAUCAAGUCUCUGCAACCGACAAAACCCAUUCAUCAACAUACUCCAAACAUUUACAGACACAGCGCUACCCAAAGUAAUCAAUAGACCCAAAACUUGAUGCGCCUCCACUAUUUUACCCAUUUUGCAUAAACAGCUCAAAAUCAUCUCAAAUGUCUCCACUUUGGGGUGAUAUCCCCAUCGCAACAUCAUUCUAAACACAUCUCCAAUGUGAUAUAAAUCAUUGAUAUUACAUAAAUUACACAGUGCAAUGUUAAAAGUCAAAAAAUUUGGCCUUCGGGUCUCUUUCAGAAACUUAAUAGCUAAAUCCACAUGCCCAAUUUUGAACAACGCAUCAAUGAUUAUGUUACGAGCAAAUGUGUUUGGAGUAAAGCCAUAAGUACCCAUUAGCUCAAUAGCCUCAAAGACCAUUGUAUACAUUUCGCCACGCCAAUAAAUCCUCAACAACAGCAAAAAUGUUUGAGAUUUUACAACACACCCCAUGCUCUCUAGUUCCCUAAUAACCAAUUUAACGGUUCUGUAUUGUUCCAUCACGCGCUUGAUCACACCAACCAUGUGAUCAAUCACAAUCUUACUGUGAAAAAAAUUAUGUUGUCCGGCACACCACAAGAAGAAUCUCAAUGCAAUCAAAUCAGAAGGGCAGUUCAAUAAAGUGGAAUGCACAACUUGAUGAUUGAGUUUACUUGUUUGUCGGUCAAAAAGUUUCGGGAAAUUUUCUUGGGUUUUGUUAGUUGGACACAUCUUUGGUGAUGAAAAGUGGCAGAUAGGCAGCAUGCGCAGUGCUCUGAUGAUUUGGGUUGGCCCUCUGGGCACAAAACAAUACCUAAAUCUCCAUACUAUUUCCAUGAAUCAGUAUCAAUCUUCUUUCUCAACAAAAAAGUUCCAGCUUUUCUUGCAAAAACACACAUAACCUAGUGCUCAAUUUUCCAAAAAUUAUAACCAAAUGAUUCUGCUGCUAGUGUUGGUGGCCAAAGCACUGAAAACUGGAAUUCGUCCAUUAAAAGUCCAACUAAACAACCCUGCAAAGCAACUAAACUAAUUACAGCAAUUUUACCUAAACAUAAAUAGAACAGUUACACAAACCCUACAAUCAAAGGUCUAAUUUUCAACUAAAUAAAACAAACCCAUUAAUAAUUUCAGUGUCAUCCAAAAUCACAAAUACACAAAUCUAAAAUAGAGACUUUAAAGAGCUAUUUGAAAUUAAUGUCAUGUAUGAUUCUAAAUUUCUAAUUAUAAUGGAAAUGAAAUAGAAAAUUUAUUCAUUUAAACACUGCAUGAACAACACAACACUAUCACGCCACAAAUUCCAAUUGCAAUGAUACAUGCUUGAUCACACAAACUUUUUGUUCAGCAAUCUGAUUACGAAACAACCAACUAAUUAAACACCUAAUGAUAGGGUUCAACAUUAUUUAUUGCAGGUAUUAGUAUGCAUUAGCAUUUAUAAGAAGUAAUGACCAAAGAAUAUGGUCUUGUGUCAAUUCAAGCUAUUAGCGACACUAUAUAUAUCUUUAAUGGGUUAAACUUCGACUCAAAAAUCAACCUCAACACCACCUAAUCCUGUUACCACCUAAGCCGGGGCAGACGGUCGACAGUGCAUAACAGAAAUGCCAACUCAACCUAAUGGUAUGAUGUGUCCAAUGAAAAUUUCUAUCGCAAACAACUCAGCAGAGUUGCUCUAUAUAGUUCAUGUAACAUGAAGUUAAAAACAGAAUUCAUUGAUGUAUUAUACUUCCCAACUAUGUUUUUUCAGAAACCUAUAAUGUCUCAUACAUUUGAGUAUAGUUCGAUAUCAAAUGUAACAAUGUACACUCAGACGAAACAAAAAUGCACCAAAACCCUCCAUGGACUUUUCCUUUCUCCAUGUUACAGCGAUAGUCUUAGAGCUCUCACAACAUCACAGAUGCAUGACCAAGAGUGUAUUCGACAACCUUGCCUCUAAUCCUUUUCAUCAGUUGGUCCUAAAGCAACUAUAUUCUUUUAAAUUCAUCUUCUUUUUCGGUAUCAACACCAGUGUUUUAAGAACCUAGCCCAGAGCGCCUCCGAGGCUGGGCGUGAGAGUUGCCGCCUUAGUUUCGCAGGAGUGGGCGGAGGCAUUGCCGGAGCGCGUCUAGGAGGCAGAGGAGCGACUCAGGGUGAUCUUGGCGUUUUUUUUCUUAAAAACCCAAGUUUUCUGAAAUGUUUUUCUGCUGUUCUAGUUUCAACGAAGAAGAAGGAGAGACUUUCUCUCUCCAAAUCCCAUAAAUUUCAAUAAUAAUUGCUCCACUCAGCCUUUAUUUCAUUUUAAGUUCCCUACAAUGAACACACACACACACACACACACUCACACACACCAAACACACCAAACACAAAACACUUACCCAGUUGGAAAUGAUUUUUGCAUAUAUAGGCAAAAGACAGCAUGAUUCAAAUAUAAUUUUAUUAGGGUUGGUUGGUAAAAGCACAACUCAUCCAGCAAGAUGUCUAUCGUACAAAGAUCCACUGUCAACUAUAAUACCAACUGUGAUUCUUCUGUCACACACUUUAGUUCCAUAAUACGUACCAGACCCCACCAAACCACAUGCUAAUUAAACUAAUUAACAAAGUAAAAUCAUCUUUAGUCUUUAAUAUCCAAAGCCUGAAAAAUGUUGCCCUCCCUUUGCAAACCAAAUACAGAAAGAAUAUAACACAUUUUCUAUCAAAAUAUUAUACAAAUAUGUACUAACUAAACCAAUUUUCGAGAGGAUUUAGCUGACGCUAGCAUCCAAUAAUUGAUUUACCAAUCAAUUUAGAGGUUAGUCUCAAUCCUAAAGCACCCGAUAUCAUUGGUGCACCAAUGCUGCACAUCACAAUAUAAACUAUACGGAAGGCAAAGCAAAUGACCAAAAAAUUAAUUAAAUAAAAAUCCCACAACACCAGAGUAAGAGGCGUGAGCCUUGCCUCAUCUAGAGACUGCAAAAUCCAAAUUCAUCACAUAUAUAUUUUGCUUCUCCCACCCAUAAUAUAAUUCUGGCUCUUUAGGAUAUCUUCAAACGAAGAAUGUGCAACAAAUCUACUUAGUUCUAACUUCGAACACACCGUGGGAUUUAAAAGAUAUUGCAUACCCAUCGGGAAACUAUACAGAAGAUAGAAACUGCAAAAACUUUUUUCCUCUUAUCCGUUUUCACCGAAAACGAUGCAAGCUUCUUUUUUGCUAUGUCUCUGUUACACAUCACUGGAUAAGGAGUACACUCUAAGAACAAACAGAAACAAAACAUACACAGAACAGACAUAUAUAACUAUCAUACCAAGAAGGCAUCAGAAAUGCCCGUCAAAAUCAUUACCAAGCUUAGAUACUUUCAGAGUACGUGAAGUGGGGUCACUUACAUUCUGCAUCAAAAAACCCGACUCCCUACAUGUAAACAUAAAGUCCUAGAAUUGGACGCAUGGUAAUUGUUAAUUCUAAAAGCGAAUUAAUAGACAUAAACUAAAGGAGCACAACUUGGCAUCUCUGCUAUCGUAUUAAAGUAUCAAUCAUAAUGGCCUAUGAGGAGUGUUUAAAAAGAAUUAAAUCUCAGCCAGAGACCACCAAUUGGUAAUCAACCUCACUUCCAGAAAAUUAGUCAGGAAACAAUGAGAUAAAGAGCUUCAAAAAUAAAAAAUAUAAGCAUUAAAUGCUGUACAAAUUCUGAUAAGUUAGUCUGGGAUAACUAUCGUUUUUAUGCAACACUUAGUAUAAAGAUAGUGUUUUUUGCAGGAGUUGGUAUAAAGAUAGUCUGGAACUUUUGGUCAAGUAGGUUACAAUGGAUUUAUGAUGUACUUGGUAUUGUUAUUUUCAAUAUUGAGUGUUAAUCACACAAAUUCACACUUGAUAUUUUCCCUCACCGACACCACCUUUACGGGAUUUUAAUCUACAAAGUUAUGCAAUACCAUACCCAUACAUUGGAUAUUACCAUAAUCACCAAUAAUAUUCCACAGAAGAUAUACACAUUUCGAGACAAUCAUACAUUUGAUUCCUACAAUAUAUUUCAUGUCUUGCAGAAAAAAUAGAAAUUAAAAAAAAUAAAAAAUAAAAAUAAAUAAAUAAAUAAAUAAAUAAAACACACACACACAAAGAUAAAAAGAGUACCUCAUACUUUCCCUGCAGCUGCUCUUCAAAAGUCAAAAAGCUUCAGAUCCUAAGUACCAAGCAAAUAUUGAAGUGAUUCAAUAAUUAUAAAAAAAAAUCAACCAUGCAUGGAACAAAACUUAGAAAUUAAACAAUUAUCAAAGCUUGUGAAGAAUGCUAAAUCCAACAAAUUCUAAACAUAAAGUAACCCGAAGGAGAUAAAACCCUUUACAGAAAAUAUCCAAUAUCCAAUAUCCAAUUAACCUAAUUGUAUUCAAACCUAGCAAAUCUCCAUUGAAUUAAGCACAGUUCGCACUAAAUUAUCCAUCUUUUCUUUUCACAGUAAAUUAAUGAUAAGACCAUGAGCAUGUAAGUCUGGACCACUACGACCAAAAUUCCAGCAAUCAAUAACCAUAACUAUAAAUUUUGACUAACUUAAAAUUGCUACAGUGUUUGACAAUGAUCAGACAAAAACUGAAUCUUUUGUGGAGCCGCAGAUAUUCAAUCAGAAAAAAUGAAUAAUCGAAUUAGUUGACUAAAUUUAUGGAAGAAAGAGAGAAGAGGGGAAUGGAGGAGAACAGCAGCAAGGAGACGAAAUCAGAUUCAGAGUUUGAGAGUCAAUUGCUAAAUUUGGAUGAACUGACCUAUUCGAUGUGAAACAGGCCAUCAGCUACCCCAGCAAUCUCUCGAUCACCGACAGUUGGAAGCCUAAAUUAGUGGGUAGCUGUCAGAUCUCACUCACUCUCUGCAGGCAUGGGCCUCCUCCUCAAUUUCCGUCAUCUUCCUCUCUGCGCUCUCUCUCUCUCUCUCUCUUCCAAAGGAGCCGUUUCCCAGGCCCAAAUGUAGCGGCCCAAUCGGGGUGUUUUGGCCGAAGCACAUCCCACACACACAAUGGCAGCUUUGUAAUUAAAGCAAAAUAGAGACCCCAUUCCAUAGGCAACAUGAAUAGUGCCAAUUCGGAACUCUACUUUAGACUAAAGUAAUUAAAAAUAACAUCUACAACUCUCUUACAAAACACAAUCUUAAUAUGGUAUCCUCAAAAGAAUUAGUAUCCAGACUCAAAUCAGCAUGCAAGUUGUCGCCAACAAGUAACCAGUUGCAAAUAUUCAAGAGUCAUUUAUAGUUAGCAAGCAUAGAUGUAAAAGACUCAAAUCAGCAUGCACGUUGUUGCCAACAAGUAACCAGUUGCAUUUCCUGUAAAAACAAAGAAUAAACUGUUUCAACAUUCAAGAGUUAUUCAUAGUUAGCAAGCAUACAUGUAAAUACAAAACCAACAGUUGCAUUUCCUUACUACUAACCUUUGGGCCUCUUGUGGUUUUGUUUUGAGUGCAAGACUGAUUCGCAUCCUUCCUCUCCCACAUGGCCUGCAACCGAGAAAGGCAGUGACGCCACAGAGAACCAAUGGACUGAAGCUUAUUGUAGUGAACUCUAUAUGUUCAGAAGUUCCAUAUUAACCUACACAGUACGGUAUAUAUCAAUGAUGAAAUAGUUGUUUGUCGCAAUUGAAAUGAUCGAACUAUUGUGAUUUCAAGGUUCCUAUUACUAAGGAAGUUACAGACUCUCUAAGAGCAUCUUUAUUUUCAUGCAGGCUUGAUAUAAAGGCAAGAAACAUGCUUAGAGACACACUCAUUAAAUUCUUGCUUAUAGCUUGGGAAUCAUAUUUGUUUUCACAUAUCUCGGUGGAAAUGAAUCAAUACUAUAGUAAAAGUAUCAAGUUACACAUUGUACGUCGACAAAGAACAAUUCUUAUAUAUUUGCUUACAGCAUGCAUGUUGUUGCCAACAAGUAUACCGUAUGAUAUUGCUUCCACUUAAAAAUACAACAAAGCAUCAAAGAAUUUGCAAAAGAAAAAACAAAAACACCAGCAGAAGACUCAAUUUAUAAUCGGCUUAAGAGUGCGUACCACAUUGAACCAUUGUAGGUAUAGAGACCAAAUUAUAACCAAAGUUUGAAAAUGCCUAUACCAACACAUGAGUGGAAUUAGGAAAAAAGAAAGGCAGGAUUUGGCAAUUACAUAUGUAAACAUAAUGUGAUGUUAAACCUAGACAAAUCUUCCAAUCUGAAAACAAACAAAGGUAAACAAGUGAGUAUUAAUUAUAUUUUCCAGCAAAGAAAAAAAGAAAGAAAUGUUAAAUAGCAUUGCCAAGUAUAUCAUCUAGAAGGAAUUGAAGAUACGAAAACUUCUAUGAAAGAAUUGAACUUUGGCAGUUCAGUGAAAAGCAACGGUAUCUAUAAAACAAUAAAACCAAGCAUAUUAUGCAAAAGUAUAAUCUUUAGGGAAUAUGUAUCAAAUCCUUAACUGGAGGUCAUUACUGCUCUGUACCACAACAAAGAUGAAAAAGAGUUUCAAUGAAUUAUUGGGGGGUCAACAUCGUCUUUCUGUAAAGUGAUACACGACGAGGGGUAAUCAAUGUGUUAAUCAAAAGUGGAGACACUCACAAAGCAGAUAGAUAUGAAGCCCAAUUGCUCUAUUGGUAUGAAGUUGGGAGUAUAAGUCUAUCCCCAAAAGCCGACGCACCUGCUCAAGUCAAAUGGUUAACCCUGUUCUCCCGCGUUCUCAUUGGGCAUCCAUAACCCCACAAUAACUAGGUCAUGACCUACAUAUAUCAAUAUUCACAAAGGGAUAAGCAUACUUCAAAAUGAGGAAAUCGCAAGGUGAUAACUAGAAAGCACCUUCAGAAACUUUGCAGAAAUCUGAUGAUUAAAACUCACAACUUUAAUAAACUGGGCAAACUAAUGCUGAUAUUUGUAGGAUUGUUGACCACGUACAUAAGCCCAAACUAAGCAACUCUGACGAGUAUAGGAGCCAGCUGCCAGAGACAAACAUACAGUGAAUCAUAGUGAUAUGAACCAUCAACUAAAAGAAGUGAAGAAUGAAAAACAAACUCCUGAGUUUUGCCCCUUCCCUUAUUUGCUCCAAUAAAUUGUGCAAGAUAAAUGAGAUGUACCCCUCUAAAUGUUAUAAAUUUGUAAAAUUAUAAGGCAUGGUACAUUUUCCCCGAAUUACUAAUAAACAAGCUCCCCUUUUCGGGAAAAAAAUGAAAACAAAUAAACAAGUUUCUCUUUUAGUUGUUAGAUUAUUAUUCUGUUCAAAUCUAUUUUGUGCUCCUAAUAAGUAAUAAUUGAAACAAUAAGUGAAACCCACACGAUUUUAGGAAUGAGAAACAAGCUUUUGUUUGGAGAAAUCACAACUAGCAUCUUUAAGGUUAUCGCAUUUGAUAAAUGAGUUUUUUUUUCUUUUUUUUUGAAAAAAAAAGGUACCAAGCAGCAACCCAAAUAUCCAAAAUAAAUUCUUAAAUUCAAAUUGAAUGUUUUAAGAAUUAAUCCCAAAGGCCAAAGGCAAUUCAAAGAUAACCAAUUAGACAGGAAAGAAAUUGAAGUUACAAGAAUUACCUUUAGCAUGCUAGAUGAAAUGCCAUUUAAACUGUCAAUUCCAAGAGAAGACAUUGAAGAGGCAAAUCUUAACCACUAUAAAUCUCAAGCCAUUGAAGCAGCCACAUCAUAAACGUCUUCAGAGCCAGAUGCCUCCACAGAUCGAUCAGUUUCUGAAGUAACGUCUGAAAUUGCAAUUAGGCCAUCAUCUACUUUCAUGCCUUUGGCAACUUCAUCAGAAAGUAAUUCUUGCACUACUUUAGAAGAUAUCAAACCCAAACUUCUCAUCUCAAUCCAUAGUUCAAUAACUGAACUAGAAAGAUAUGGUCUACAGAGGAAUUUUGAUAAUCUCAAGAAAGUAUUGGAGCUCAGUUCUACUUUUGCUUCUAUCAUCUCUUGUAGCAGUAAAUUAACCAUAUUAAGAUCUCUUUCUUUAACAAAACCAGAGACCAUUACAUUGUAUGUAUGUACAGUAAGAGCCAAGCCGACUUCCUUCAUCUGGCAAUAGAGUGACCAAGCCUCUCCAGCUCUACCACCCAUAAAGAGCCCUAUAAUGGCAACUGUGUAUGCUGCAACAUCAAGGGUGUAGCCCUCUUCAACUGCUUUUCUAAACACUCUAAUGGCCGCAUUAAAUUUACGGACCUUUAUAAGCCCAUCCAUGACCACAGUAUGAAUAUAAGCAUCCUGUCCAGGGAAACUCUGGAGAAUCCCAUGAUACGCAUCAACUGCUUCAUCAACUCUUUUUGCCUUGCAUAACCCAUCUACUAAUCCAACAAAAGUAUACUUAUCUGGGUAAGGCCAUUAUCAAGCAUAUCAUUAUAAAACUUUACAGCAAGAGACGGAAACUUGGCUUUACAAAAAUAACAGAGAAGUGAGUUACAUAGCAAUAAGUCAGCUUCUAUGUCAAGUCCACGAACCAACUUGGGUAACAUAUCAAACCUCCUAGACAAACACAAGGUAGAUAAUAAUGAAGAGACAGUACAAGAAUCAGGAGCCAAGUUCCGUGAUCGCAUGCUAACAAAAACAUUAAUGGCAUCAUCACACCUCCCAGCUUUGGCAAAGGAGUCUAUUAACACAUUACAAAGAACGAGGUCAGGGGCAUAUCCUUUGGAUUCCAUAAUAUUUAGAAUAUUGAAUGCUUCACUAACCAUAUUAGAUUUUAAAAAUCCCCUGAUUAAAGUCGUGUACGUUACAAUACUAGGAGAAGAACCAGUCUCAACCAUCUUCUCCAAUAACUUACCAGCCACAUCAAGUCUCUGCAACCGACAAAACCCAUUCAUCAACAUACUCCAAACAUUUACAGACACAGCAAUACCCAAAGUAAUCAAUAGACCCAAAACUUGAUGCGCC
This 8970-nucleotide long non-coding RNA is filed under the name Malus domestica (apple). Its description in RNAcentral is "long non-coding RNA (MDOM_LNC017476)". Lineage: Eukaryota; Viridiplantae; Streptophyta; Magnoliopsida; Rosales; Rosaceae. The record is from RNAcentral.